CCCCCCUCAGGCUCGCACCUGGAGAGUUUCCAGUCCUCUACCAGUCUCGACUAUGGGAGGAAGAGUCAAACAGAGGCAUAUCCAUUCCAUUCCUAACUUGGGCAGUGGCUAGCGAGUGGAAGGUAAUCUGCUACAAGU
RNAcentral lists this small nucleolar RNA (138 nucleotides) under Ornithorhynchus anatinus (platypus). The record is from RNAcentral. Lineage: Eukaryota; Metazoa; Chordata; Mammalia; Monotremata; Ornithorhynchidae.